AGCUUUUCUAUCUUUUUAAUUCUUCAAAUUUUCUUCUCUUUCUUGUGCCCAAUCUCUUGUCCAAGCUUGAUUAUCAAAGUUUUGUUGAGAGAGCUAUGAAUUUUAGGGUGAAAAUUUAAGGUUUGUAAGAGCUUUUAGGUUCAUCAAUGGUGGAAAGAAAAUAAAUAAAAGGGAGAGAGGAAGAAGAAAGUGCAGGCCAAAU
Molecule: unclassified non-coding RNA, 202 nt
Filed under: Hevea brasiliensis (rubber tree)
Lineage: Eukaryota; Viridiplantae; Streptophyta; Magnoliopsida; Malpighiales; Euphorbiaceae
Source: RNAcentral